This 444-nucleotide unclassified non-coding RNA is filed under the name Hoya anulata. RNAcentral describes it as "partial miscellaneous RNA". Lineage: Eukaryota; Viridiplantae; Streptophyta; Magnoliopsida; Gentianales; Apocynaceae. The record is from RNAcentral.
CUUAAUCUUUGAGACAAGCAUAUGACUACUGGCAGGAUCAACCAGGUAGCAUUCCUGAACGACGUCGUCACCGCACGGCCAAGCCGAGACGAGAGCGACGGUCGUGCACCGUUGGUGUCUAAUGCAUGCUCGGGCAAUGAUAAGAGGCCGCGAGACCUCAAUGCCCUCAGUGCUUUCCGUAUCCAAGAGCUCGAGCAAUGCCCCGUUCACCGCGACGGCAUAGACGCGACGCGGGUAACAGGCCAUGCUGCGAGUUUCGUCUCGUGACCCGCCGGCCGAGCAGCGGACCGCUAAACGAACUAGGGACGUUGGGACAAACGAAUGCCAUCGUGUAGGUACACAACACAGGAAACCGGGGUCAUGGCCAAGGCUAUGCCGCACUUGGGCCAAAACUGAGGAGUCGUGAGAGGCACGUCGUCGCUGCCCGGACAGGGAUCCAACGCA